RNAcentral lists this ribosomal RNA (616 nucleotides) under uncultured Legionella sp. RNAcentral's name for it is "bacterial SSU rRNA". It matches the Rfam family "Bacterial small subunit ribosomal RNA", at positions 242 to 849 of the family's 1533-position model. Lineage: Bacteria; Pseudomonadati; Pseudomonadota; Gammaproteobacteria; Legionellales; Legionellaceae. The record is from RNAcentral.
UAGCUAGUUGGUGGGGUAAGGGCCUACCAAGGCGACGAUCGGUAGCUGGUCUGAGAGGAUGGCCAGCCACACUGGAACUGAGACACGGUCCAGACUCCUACGGGAGGCAGCAGUGGGGAAUAUUGGACAAUGGGGGGAACCCUGAUCCAGCAAUGCCGCGUGUGUGAAGAAGGCCUGAGGGUUGUAAAGCACUUUCAGUGGGGAGGAGGAUUGAUUGUUUAAGAGAUGAUUAAUUGGACGUUACCCACAGAAGAAGCACCGGCUAACUCCGUGCCAGCAGCCGCGGUAAUACGGAGGGUGCGAGCGUUAAUCGGAAUUACUGGGCGUAAAGGGUGCGUAGGUGGUUGUAUAAGUUAUCUGUGAAAUUCCUGGGCUUAACCUGGGGUGGUCAGAUAAGACUGUAUGACUCGAGUAUGGGAGAGGGUAGUGGAAUUUCCGGUGUAGCGGUGAAAUGCGUAGAGAUCGGAAGGAACACCAGUGGCGAAGGCGGCUACCUGGCCUAAUACUGACACUGAGGCACGAAAGCGUGGGGAGCAAACAGGAUUAGAUACCCUGGUAGUCCACGCUGUAAACGAUGUCAACUAGCUGUUGGUUAUAUGAAUAUAAUUAGUGGCGC